CCUACGGGAGGCAGCAGUGAGGAAUAUUGGUCAAUGGGCGCGAGCCUGAACCAGCCAAGUAGCGUGAAGGAUGACUGCCCUACGGGUUGUAAACUUCUUUUAUAAAGGAAUAAAGUGAGGCACGUGUGCCUUUUUGUAUGUACUUUAUGAAUAAGGAUCGGCUAACUCCGUGCCAGCAGCCGCGGGAAUACGGAGGAUCCGGGCGUUUUCCGGAUUUAUUUGGGUUAAAGGGAGCGUAGAUGGGUUGUUAAGUCAGUUGUGAAAGUUUGGGGCUCAAGCGUAAAAUUGCAAUUGAUACUGGCAGUCUUGAGUACAGGUGAGGUAGGCGGAAUGCGUGGUGUAGCGGUGAAAUGCUUAGAUAUCACGAAGAACUCCGAUUGCGAAGGCAGCUUACUAAACUGCCACUGACAUUGAUGCACGAAAGUGUGGGGAUCAAACAGGAUUAGAUACCCGUGUAGUC
This 460-nucleotide ribosomal RNA is filed under the name uncultured bacterium. RNAcentral's name for it is "partial 16S ribosomal RNA". It matches the Rfam family "Bacterial small subunit ribosomal RNA", at positions 338 to 795 of the family's 1533-position model. The record is from RNAcentral.